Molecule: RNA transcript, 9718 nt
Organism: Bacillus rossius redtenbacheri
Lineage: Eukaryota; Metazoa; Arthropoda; Insecta; Phasmatodea; Bacillidae
Gene: FRG1
Gene name: protein FRG1 homolog
Exons: 3
Source: RefSeq, a predicted model, not a curated record
CCACCACACUUUAGUUCUGAGAAAUCAAGCUAGGAGCAGUGACCGGACGGGAUGAUGACCUGAUGCAAAAACCUUCUCCCUGGUCCGACAGACACAUCCCCGACAUCUAGCGGAGGAAAAAGUAACCGCGGGCCUGGUCGCCAGCGUGCAGAGCUUACCCUCAUGACACCUGGUGGCAAGUCAGCUCACCGCCUCAAGUAGUUCCCCCUUACGCCGCUAGAAAGCAGCGUCGCGGUGCCAUAAGGCACUAUGCUUUCUUCUCGCGGCCUGUAGAAGUCGAUUGUUCGUUGCCUUCGUUUCGGUCCGGUAGAGAGCGCGCAUGUCGUGUUGUUGCCACGCCCGCCUCGGGCUCCUUCGGAAACUUUCGGCUUAGAACCGAACCUUCCCCCUCCUUCCUAGGGCUUGAGCGCCCGUUUUAAUUAGAAGUCUCGUCCGCCACCGCGGGCACUUAGUUCUCUGAGCUCGGCUACUGACCACGUGUUCUCGGUUUCCUCUGCGCUAAGAGGCUUUUCGCGGGAACGGCGAUUUUCGGUUGCACAAAAGAUGUAGUCAGUUACUUAAGGGAUGUGAUCCCAUUUGUACAGUAGCCAGGCAGAGGUAGUUUUUAGAAAAGUCAUGCGUAGUUAAAUUUUUUUUAUUUAUAUUUAAUUCAAAAAAUUCUGGUUUCCUUCGCGCAUCCGCGGAUUCUCGGUGCGCGUCAUCCUGAUGUCGGCGCGAGACACCUCGCGAGCCCUGUUUCCACACCCUGUUUGACAGGGUCGAAGUUACGGAGGGAGAAAUUGCCCCCGCAUGAUCUUCGGGACCUUCAGCUGAUCCCCCCCCCCCCCCUUGUUAGAAGAGUUUGGCCCGCAGUCCGAGGUCAUCCUGGAAAGACCCGGGUGAAAUGAGAUAUAUAUUUCUUUUUUCACUUAAAUAGAAGGAACUAAAACAAAGAUACCAGCGAGCAGUGCUUUAAGGACGUCAUCCUCAAGAAUCUGUAAAAUCGAGGAAACUCAUAAAUAUAUGUAAUUGUUGGGACAUUCAAAUUUGGUUCAAUUUUUAAAUUUUUGAUUAUGUAAUAAUUUUUUGUUAAGGUGUAAUAUGUAUUAUUUUAAAUAAUCCUGGAGCGCCCCCCUUUAACUUUGUUAAUUACUAAGAUUUUUAUUGUCAGGUUUGAAUAAUACGAACACAAAAUUCCUUAAUAAUAAACCAGGGAACCUAUAGACCAAGCUACUUGUGUAGUGUUAAUUUAUUUAUGAUAUACCUUCUUCCCUUAAAAGAUCCACCAGCUCCCAAGUUGCUUGUGUCAGGGAGAUCCAAAUUAUCUUGUUCUCCACCUCGUGCCACCUCUGGUCAAUAACUUUAUUUUUCUUAUUUUUCUUACCCAGCAAGUUUCCAAGGCUCUUUUUAAUUAAUUUAAAAUAAUUUAAUUUUGAGGCACGAGGGGCGUUACAAUUGGUAUCAGAGCGUGGUUUGGUCUAUAGGCAUACCUAAAUAAAGUAGGCAUACCUAAAAUAAAAUAUUAAAAAAAAAAAAUUAAUUAAUUUUUUGUGAAACCAAUUUGUAUUUUUAACAUUGUAAACUGAUCGCUGGUACACCCGGUAGUUAUAUUGCUUUUCUAUUUUAAAGUUAUGAUUGAGUUUUAAAGUCACGUGCGGACUUAGUCUGCGCGCGGCGCAAGAAGUCGCGGCGUCCGGUCCGCUAGCGGGCCGGCAGCGAGACGUGGCUUAUCUCUCGCCUCAGCUGGCGUUCCCCCCCCCCCCCCCCCAGCCACCCGCUCGAGAUAGCGACACGCCCUUAAUCUGUGGGUGACGACUCGGCCCUGUUCCUCCCGCACACCCCUCUCCCUUGUCCAUCGUGGCAGACGACCUUGCGAGCGGCAGGUCAGUCCCCCUGUUGACGUAUACAGGUUGGCAAGUCAAACUGACAGGGGAAGUUCGCGCAGUUGUUUGAGUAGUACGGCGACUUUAUACGCAAAUAAGUUUGGGCACAUACCCCCCCACCUUGAAAGUGUGACUUACUCCCCGCGCAUUGGGGCUAUUUGGUAUUUGAUAUUAAUAUAGGAAGCCUUAUGAGGUAUUUAAAAUUAAGAUAGUUGUUAAGGGAGGAGUAUUUAUGGUGUACGUUUGAAUCGUACAUGUGUGUUAAAUUUUUGUUUUAAUUAGCAGUAAUUUACGCCCGAGCAGUAUGUUUAAGCCGGAGUUAUUGCUGUCAGACGAGCUGACCUAUGAGUUACAGCUACGCAAUUUGCCCUCCAGUGGCAAUGUCCAAGUCCUCAGGAAGAGGCUCAGGGCCGCCCUUCAUGAUGGCGUGCCCACUAGUGUAUCGAAUUUAGAUUUAGAUGUAACUGAAGAAUUCAACCUUGCUUGCGCCAAGUUUUAUGAUAUAUCGGCUUUCGUAAGCUAUCUAGAUGUGGAGGAAAAUUUACCCAAUGUCGAGCGACAUAUAGUCAGGCUAAAACAUGUUACCCGACGUUUGCAAAACCUGAAACAGCUUUCGGCAGACCUUCUCCAUGGAAUUUAUAUAAAAGAGGUAGAACGAUGUUUGCAACAGACGGCAGGUUUCCAUUCAAAAUUGGCGGCGAGAGCAGCCGUUUUGGAAGACACACGACGCAGUCAGCAUUAUGUGGCUGAGGCACAGGCUUUAGGCAUCGAUUGUCCCGCCUUCCCGGAAGGGGACGCUCCUAGCUUGCCCCUGGGAGUAGAGCAACCCGACACGCGACAAUCAGAAGUGCGGGCGACGGUAAACAGACAGGAGACGGAAACGAGCAGAUUACCAGACGCAGCCCCUGACGCUCAGCCACUAACGUCGUUUCCAAAUCAACCGAUGCCCGUAUCUACUACUCAUUCAGAGCCGCUUGUGCAGUUGACGACAGCGGCGACAAACAUUACAACGGGUCAUGUGACAACCCACCCCGUCACUAGUGUGACAUUUUCACAGGGAUUACCAACCUUGGCACAACAAAUGACGCAACCAUACCCACCAAACAUGUUUUUCCCGAAUCCGACCGCUCAGGGCUAUUUUAACCCUUAUGCGCAAUUUCAACCACAGUUUCCUUCAUGGCAAACCACCCCACUUCCGAGUGCUGGUAUUCUGCAGCCGCCACUCACAACGCCCCAGCUCACUCCACCCCAAAUCAGCCCCUCGGGUGCGACUCGGGAACAGACUCAGUCGCACCCGGUGCCACAAAAUCAGCCUUCACCUCAGCCGGCAGGAGCCGCCGCUCAGCCCCACGACUCAGUAUUGAGGAGCACGACAGCCCCAGAAACUAGCUACAGUUUCUAUGGAAAAAUCACCCAUCCUGUAGAAAGGCUACUCAAGGAAUUGCCAGAGGCGUCGGGUCUGGACGCACACAAACUAAUUGAUUUCCUUCGGGUCUUAUUAAAGCUGCGACAAAAGGGAGGGAUUCCCGACAAACAAAUUUUUGAAAUUGUUUACCCAUACACCCAAGCUCCCUUAAGUGAGCGGAUCAUGGCAGCCAUUGAGAAUGACCUCACUUUCGAUGAGUUUCAUGAAGACGUUUUAAAUUUUUGUAUACCGAGUAGGCUACUCACAAACAUCCGGUUGGAGUGGUUUAACCGACUGCAGCAGCGUAAUGAAGCCUUGCCAAAUUACGUGGCUGACAUACGCGAAGCCAACCAGGUACUCAGGCUAAAGGUUUCCGAGAGAGAGGUCGUGAGUACGAUUCUAGACGGUUUGAACCCAGCGGAGCGCUCGCGCUCAGUGUUCCAGGCACGCCCCCAAAAUUAUGAUGAGCUAGAUAAACUUUGCGUACACGCCACAAACAUAGAAUACGCUGAUUUUCAGCGAAAUAAACAAGCCACAUUCGCUAGUCAACAAGGUAGCAGCGCGGGAACGGAGCGCAGUAAUUCGCAACAUAAGAAUGCAGCACAGAAACAUCAGGGCAAUACAUUUUUCUCUUCAAGGCCACAAGGGAGAUAUCAACAAAAUACACAUUGUAAUUUCUGUAAAAGAGACGGGCAUUCCCUGCCUCAGUGUUACCACAAAAACAACAAACAAAAUGGCGACACUCCAAAAAAACGCAUAACGCGGUGGCCCGAACAACCUUAUUUAGGGUCACCGAAAAAUUCUAGUGUUAAAAAUUUUUCUUAUAAGUGGGAAGUUCAACUUGCGCCAAGUAAUGGCAGUACACAAGAAACACCAUUACACAAAAACAAUAAUCCUAACAACAAGGAGUCCAGGAAUAAAAGUAACAAGCGAGGUCACAAACAUAAACAAAGAAAGCACAAUAGCAGGAGAAAUAACAAAAAUAAGGGAAAUGGUAAUUCAACGCUCACGUACUCAUGUAAAACGUGUGUUGAUCCUACAAAUAAGGGCAAGAGAAAAUGCCACCAAAUUUUUGGCAAUAUUCCUACAGUAAUUCCGUAUGCAGUAACAACGAUUGGCGAACACACUGUACCGGGACUAAUUGAUACGGGAUCAGCGCGCAGCCUAAUUUCUGGGCAGUUGUUUGACAAGUUAAAACAGAGCAAAUUAAUUCUAAGGACUGAGACCACUAAGUUACAAUGUUUCACAGCUUCAGAGCAGCCAUUAAAUAUUACGUUAGCAGUUGUGAUCAAGGUGAAGAUUGAUUUAUAUUCAUGGAAUUUCCCAUUUUUGGUGUCUGAUCAACUUGCCACAGACCUAAUAUACGGGUCUGAUUUCAUUGCCAAGACAGGUCUAAUCAUUAAUCUUCAGGCGAAGAAUUUCGUUUUCAAAUUCAACAUGGGUAAUCCUAUUCCUUGUGGGACCCCUGAACAAAUAGUUUCAGUUCCGGCCGAGCCAACGGCAGCCAUCUUGGAUCAGGGUAACACCACUUCACACGAGCACCUUAAUACACAGCAGCGGGCCGCCAUUGAUAAAUUAUGCAGUACUUUUCCAGAUGUCUUGACUAGUAAAUUAGGUCGCACAAAAUUAGUCGAGUACCAAAUUGAGUUAGCGGAUAAAAUACCAGUGAGAUCUCACCCUUAUCAAUUUUUAGGCCCUAAGAUGCAGACGAUGCGCAAUCAUGUUCAGGAGCUUUUAGAAUAAGGGGUAAUUGAACCCUCGACCUCCGCCUACAGUUCCCCAGCUUUUCUGGUGCCUAAGGGCAAGGAUCAACAACGAUGUGUAAUUUAUUACAGAAAAGUUAAUGAGAAAAUAGUCAUACAAAACAUACCUUUGCCAGACCUAAACACUGCUUUUCAUUGGUUCAGUAAGGCCAAAUAUUUUAGUGUGUUUGAUCUAAAUUCUGCUUACCACCAAAUUCCCCUUACUGCGGAUUCAAAACCCAUCACAGCCUUCUGUGUCCCUUGGAACUUUUACCAAUACACAGUAGUACCUUUCGGACUUGCCACGGGAGCCCAAGUACUAACUCGACUCCUGGAUCAGAUACUAGGAGAUCUAAAAUUCAAAACAGUGUACAACUAUCUAGACGAUGUCGUCGUAUAUUCAGAAAUAUUUGAAGAACACAUCAAACAUUUAGAGGAAGUCCUAAGUAGAUUUCGUAAGGCGGGGUUAACUGUCAACACAAAAAAGGUUAAGUUUGCAGUCCAAGAACUGUCUUUUCUAGGACACCUGGUUUCUAGCAAGGGAGUCACCAUUGAUCCUUCACGUACACAAGCUAUUCGUGAUUUUCCGCCUCCCACAAACCCUAAGGGUAUUUCACGUUUUAUUGGUAUGGCAAAUUUUUACUCAAAAUAUAUUCCUAAUUUCGCUGAGCACGCAGCACCACUAAAUACGUUGCGUAAGAAAAACACACCUUUCACAUGGGGUCCGGAACAAGAAAAAGCUUUUAAUUUCCUGAAACAGGCGAUUUCUACCCCGCCUGUACUCCGCAUGGCAGACUUCACCAAACCUUUCAUUUUACAGACGGAUGCGUCCAGUGUGGCUAUUGGCGCAGUACUGUCACAGGAAGUCGAAGGCUGCAGACAGCCUAUUGCGUUUGCAUCGCGGACACUUACCCACGCCGAGAGGAAAGCCUCCUCGAUCUACGAAUUAGAAUGCCUCGCCGUGGUAUUUGGCAUCGACAAAUUCCGACAAUUUAUAGAACACAGGGAAUUCCUGUUGGAGACAGAUAAUCAGGCAUUAGCCUGGCUUUUGGCACACCCGAAACAAUUAGGGAAACUCGGGCGAUGGAUUGCAAAAAUUUCCUCUUUAAAGUUCAAAAUCCAACACAUUCGUGGCACACAGAACAUAGUAGCGGACACACUGUCGCGCAUGUUCGAAAAUCCAACUCAGGCUCCGCCCGAAGGAACACCACUCUUAUGUCAAGCCCUAUUGACAGAGUUUCCGUUGGCAUUUCAGGAUUUACAGAGCCAGCAGGAAGCUGAUCCCCACAUUUCCAGUAUCAUUAAACUUUUUAGUUCAGGAACGGCGCCAAAAUACUUUAGGAUGUCUAAGGGGCUGUUACAAAAACGCACCCCCCAAUCAAAAACAUACAAAAUUGUGCUCCCACAAAAUCUGCGUGAUAUGAUUUUCCAUUAUUAUCACACCUCGCCGGUGGGCGCACACCUCGGUAUAUAUAAGACCAUUCAGGCUAUCCGACGUCAUUUAGUGUGGGACGGCAUGCACAAGGACAUCACCGAGCAGGUGAAACUAUGCAAAAUCUGUGCGCUGAGUAAGCCACCGCAGAACACUCGUUUCGGUUAUUUAACAUCAGAUGUGGCCGAGCGCCCCAUGCAAAAGAUGUUUAUCGACUUUGUCGGGCCUUUCCCGCGCUCAAAGACAGGAAACACUAUGCUGCUGGUGUGUAUCGACGCCUUCACAAAAUUUGUCUGGCUCAUCCCCAUGCGAAAAGCCACCGCAGAAAACACUGUAUCUGCGCUACGUAAUCAGAUCUUCAAGACGUCGGGAGUCCCGUCUAUAGUAGUUUCAGACAAUGCAACCCAGUUCUCGGCUAGGAUUUUUAAGAACAUGUGCUUCUCACAUGGCAUUCUGCACGUCACAACCUCGCCUUAUUAUCCACAGCCCUCGCAUGCUGAGAGAUUCAACCGCAAUCUCCGGUCUGCUCUAAUAGCUUACCAUGCGCAGGAGCAGGAUAAAUGGGAUUCGAAUUUUGUGUGGCUGCAAAUGGCCUUUAAUUAUGCACAUCAUGAAGGACACAAAAGUACUCCUUUCGAACUCAUGUUCACUUACCGACCUAAUACCCCUCUUUCAAAUCUUUGGUCUUUGAAUGACCUAUUGCCCGAUGAUCCGAGAGACAUCAGGGAGAUUUGGAGAAGAGCUCGUAAAAAUCUCAAUCUGGCUCAUGAGAGCAGAAAAAAGAAAUACAACGAAAACAGAUAUCCUAACCCUUACAGGGUAGGCGAUUUUGUGCUUUGUAAGGCACACCCACUCAGCAAGGCAGUGGAUAAGUUUUCCGCCAAGCUGGCGUACCGCUGGAGAGGUCCUUUUCAAAUACAGCGAUUUUUAACGCCAGUUACGGUUAGCCUAGCUGACCCCAGUUCAGGAGAAUUCGUGACCAGAGCGCACAUCUCCCAUCUAAAGAAAACACAGGCUGACUUAAAGUAGAUGUGUUUAAAUUUCUUUCCCCUAACAUAGGGGACUCUCUAAUAUUAGGCAUGCCAGAAAUCCUCGAGGUCUUAAAAAUCCAUGGUACUAGAAAUAAGAAUGCUAGCUUUACGUUGUAUUAGUUUUAAGUGGCCACUUAGUUAAUAAGCUCUUAGUUAAUAAGUUUGUUUAAGGGUUAUCGAUAUGUUGUGCCUGAGAGGCGGACGCGUCUCAAAGGUGUUAGAAUAUAAGUAGUAGGAUACAGGCGAACCUGGUACUAGUUUUACUGAGCAGUGUAAGUGUUUUUUUCUUCCUAUAUGCUCCGCAUUCAAGUGGGUGAGUAUGUGCCAGAAAUUAGGCAUUUCGUCACCUUUUUAAUUUUUUCUAUAAUUUUAAAAUUAUUUGGGGUGUCUUAUUUUUUUAAUUUAUCUGGUUGUUAAUGGGGGUGAUUUACUUUUUGUUAGGCCGGUGUACGCCACGGAUUUAAACUUUGUUGCAGUGGACCGAAGCCCCUUCCCAGGGGGGCCUAUCUGAUAUUUUGCUGGCUAAUGUGGACAUGGUCAGCCCGGUUGAGAUUUCUCCCGCCUGCAGUCACGUCCCGAGUUUGUUAUUUUAAUUCCCUGCAUGACCAAAACUGCAUCGAGCAGCUCCUGGGCUGCAAGCUGCUACCUUGUAGAGGGCUGCUGAGAAUAGCAUGUCUCGUCACGAAGCAGUCUCCAGUGGAGCUGCGUUCCCACCUUAGUGGCUAUUUCUGCCCCCCCUUCCUCUCUCUCCACCUCACUUUAGUUCUGAGAAAUCAAGCUAGGAGCAGUGACCGGACGGGAUGAUGACCUGAUGCAAAAACCUUCUCCCUGGUCCGACAGACACAUCCCCGACAUCUAGCGUAGGAAAAAGUAACCGCGGGCCUGGUCGCCAGCGUGCAGAGCUUACCCUCAUGACACCUGGUGGCAAGUCAGCUCACCACCUAAAGUAGUUCCCCCUUACGCCGCUAGAAAGCAGCGUCGCGGUGCCAUAAGGCACUAUGCUUUCUUCUCGCGGCCUGUAGAAGUCGAUUGUUCGUUGCCUUCGUUUCGGUCCGGUAGAGAGCGCGCAUGUCGUGUUGUUGCCACGCCCGCCUCGGGCUCCUUCGGAAACUUUCGGCUUAGAACCGAACCUUCCCCCUCCUUCCUAGGGCUUGAGCGCCCGUUUUAAUUAGAAGUCUCGUCCGCCACCGCGGGCACUUAGUUCUCUGAGCUCGGCUACUGACCACGUGUUCUCGGUUUCCUCUGCGCUAAGAGGCUUUUCGCGGGAACGGCGAUUUUCGGUUGCACAAAAGAUGUAGUCAGUUACUUAAGGGAUGUGAUCCCAUUUGUACAGUAGCCAGGCAGAGGUAGUUUUUAGAAAAGUCAUGCGUAGUUAAAUUUUUUUUAUUUAUAUUUAAUUCAAAAAAUUCUGGUUUCCUUCGCGCAUCCGCGGAUUCUCGGUGCGCGUCAUCCUGAUGUCGGCGCGAGACACCUCGCGAGCCCUGUUUCCACACCCUGUUUGACAGGGUCGAAGUUACGGAGGGAGAAAUUGCCCCCGCAUUAUUUUCGGGACCUCCAGCUGAUCCCCCCCCCCCCCCUUGUUAGAAGAGUUUGGCCCGCAGUCCGAGGUCAUCCUGGAAAGACCCGGGUGAAAUGAGAUAUAUAUUUCUUUUUUCACUUAAAUAGAAGGAACUAAAACAAAGAUACCAGCGAGCAGUGCUUUAAGGACGUCAUCCUCAAGAAUCUGUAAAAUCGAGGAAACUCAUAAAUAUAUGUAAUUGUUGGGACAUUCAAAUUUGGUGCAAUUUUUAAAUUUUUGAUUAUGUAAUAAUUUUUUCAUAAGGUGUAAUAUGUAUUAUUUUAAAUAAUCCUGGGGCGCCCCCCUUUAACUUUGUUAAUUACUAAGAUUUUUAUUGUCAGAUUUGAAUAAUACGAACACAAAAUUCCUUAAUAAUAAACCAGGGAACCUAUAGACCAAGCUACUUGUGUAGUGUUAAUUUAUUUAUGAUAUACCUUCUUCCCUUAAAAGAUCCACCAGCUCCCAAGUUGCUUGUGUCAGGGAGAUCCAAAUUAUCUUGUUCUCCACCUCGUGCCACCUCUGGUCAAUAACUUUAUUUUUCUUAUUUUUCUUACCCAGCAAGUUUCCAAGGCUCUUUUUAAUUAAUUUAAAAUAAUUUAAUUUUGAGGCACGAGGGGCGUUACAGUAUAUUUAAUAUUUUGGUUCGGAAACUCAUUAAAUAGCACAAUUUUGCUUCUAAAAUUCCAAA